RNAcentral lists this long non-coding RNA (530 nucleotides) under Brassica rapa (field mustard). RNAcentral's name for it is "long non-coding RNA (BRAP_LNC006733)". The record is from RNAcentral. Lineage: Eukaryota; Viridiplantae; Streptophyta; Magnoliopsida; Brassicales; Brassicaceae.
UUUCCCUUGUGGACUUCUUCGUAUCUGGUGUCCUCCUCGGGUUGGAUACGUCCUUGCGACCGUCUACACUGUGGCGAUGUCGAACACAAUGCUUCCCUUUCACCUCCUGAUGUGAUGAGUUGACUGUGUCGCUGCAGCUCUUUCUGCGGUUAAGGUUUGGUGACUUGGGCCGAGUCAGAGGAAACUGUUGAUCAAACAACCACAGAAUAUUAACAUAGCUCCGUUUGUAGGUAAGACAGUGUGAGAUACUGACAAAAUCAUAACAAAGCUAACAUGGCCAUACACUAGGAUAAUCAGUUCGUGUGGAUAGUGAAGACAUAACUCAUAAGAGAAGGAAACAGAAUCUUACUAUGGGAUUCUGUCAGUACUGGACAAGCAAGAAAGUGAAUCUAAAACGGACACAGAACAAGGAAGCAGAGACACUGUGGUUUUGUUUAUAUACCUUUUUCAAUGGAGGUUUCUGUGGAGGAGGCUCGUAGUAGAAAGUCGGUACGGGAUUAGCUUUGUAAGCCAUGUUCUUCCUGAGUUGC